CCUGCCACGCCUCUCAGUGAUGCGCAAUCUGGCGGGU
Molecule: non-coding RNA, 37 nt
Filed under: unclassified sequences
Description: abiF RNA
Rfam family: abiF RNA
Source: Rfam by way of RNAcentral